This 195-nucleotide ribosomal RNA is filed under the name uncultured bacterium. Its description in RNAcentral is "partial 16S ribosomal RNA". It matches the Rfam family "Bacterial small subunit ribosomal RNA", at positions 338 to 525 of the family's 1533-position model. The record is from RNAcentral.
CCUACGGGAGGCAGCAGUGGGGAAUUUUGGACAAUGGGCGCAAGCCUGAUCCAGCAAUGCCGCGAGCAGGAUGAAGGCCUUCGGGUUGUAAACUGCUUUUGUACGGAGCGAAAAGCCCCUGGCGAAUAACCGGGGGUCAUGACGGUACCGUAAGAAUAAGCACCGGCUAACUACGUGCCAGCAGCCGCGGUAAUA